RNAcentral lists this ribosomal RNA (576 nucleotides) under Asterina siphocampyli. Its description in RNAcentral is "eukaryotic LSU rRNA". It matches the Rfam family "Eukaryotic large subunit ribosomal RNA", at positions 48 to 643 of the family's 3401-position model. The record is from RNAcentral. Lineage: Eukaryota; Fungi; Ascomycota; Dothideomycetes; Asterinales; Asterinaceae.
AAGCGGAGGAAAAGAAACCAACAGGGAUUGCCUCAGUAACGGCGAGUGAAGCGGCAGCAGCUCAAAUUUGAAAUCUGGCCCCCGGCCCGAGUUGUAAUUUGCAGAGGAUGCUUCGGGGCGGGCCCCGGCCCGAGUCCCUUGGAACAGGGCGCCGUAGAGGGUGAGGGCCCCGUACACGGCCGGACGCCCGCCCCGUGCGAAGCUCCUUCGACGAGUCGAGUUGUUUGGGAAUGCAGCUCCAAACGGGAGGUAUAUUCCUCCCAAGGCUAAAUACCGGCCGGAGACCGAUAGCGCACAAGUAGAGUGAUCGAAAGAUGAAAAGCACUUUGGAAAGAGAGUCAAAAAGUACGUGAAAUUGUUGAAAGGGAAGCGUUUGCGGCCAGACCUGGUGGCGGUGGCUCAGCCGGCCCCUCUGGGCCGGCGCACUCCUCCGCCACCCGGCCAGCAUCGGUUCGGGCGGCCGGAUAAAGGCCGGGGGAACGUGGCCCCCUCGCGGGGUGUUAUAGCCCCCGGCACAAUGCGGCCCGCCCGGACCGAGGACAGCGGUCGCUAGGAUGCUGGGAUACUGGAAGGCAA